AGUGAACGCUGGCGGUAGGCCUAACACAUGCAAGUCGAACGGCAGCACAGUAAGAGCUUGCUCUUACGGGUGGCGAGUGGCGGACGGGUGAGGAAUACAUCGGAAUCUACUUUUUCGUGGGGGAUAACGUAGGGAAACUUACGCUAAUACCGCAUACGACCUACGGGUGAAAGCAGGGGAUCUUCGGACCUUGCGCGAUUGAAUGAGCCGAUGUCGGAUUAGCUAGUUGGCGGGGUAAAGGCCCACCAAGGCGACGAUCCGUAGCUGGUCUGAGAGGAUGAUCAGACACACAGGACCUGAGGAGCAGGCCAGACCCUGGAGGGGGGACGGAGGGGGGAAUUUUGGAAAAGGGGGGAAAGCCUGAACAAGCCACACCGCGGGGGUGAAGAAGGCCUGCGGGUUGUAAACCCCUUUUUUUGGAAAAGAAAAGCAGCGGGUUAAGCCCCCGUUUUUUUGACGGGACCAAAAAAAAAAGCCCCGGCAAAUUUGGU
RNAcentral lists this ribosomal RNA (491 nucleotides) under uncultured bacterium. RNAcentral describes it as "partial 16S ribosomal RNA". It matches the Rfam family "Bacterial small subunit ribosomal RNA", at positions 29 to 506 of the family's 1533-position model. The record is from RNAcentral.